Oncorhynchus tshawytscha (Chinook salmon) is the source of this 476-nucleotide long non-coding RNA. Lineage: Eukaryota; Metazoa; Chordata; Actinopteri; Salmoniformes; Salmonidae. The record is from Ensembl.
GUGGUCUAGUGGUUAGAGUGUAGGGUCGGCAGGUAGCCUAGUGGUUAGAGUGUAGGGUCGGCAGGUGGUCUAGUGGUUAGAGUGUAGGGUCGGCAGGUAGCCUAGUGGUUAGAGUGUAGGGUCGGCAGGUGGUCUAGUGGUUAGAGUGUAGUGUCGACAGGUAGCCUAGUGGUUAGAGUGUAGAGUCGGCAUGUAGCCUAGUGGUUAGAGCAUAGGGUCGGCAGGUGGUCUAGUGGUUAGAGCGUAGUGUCGACAAGUAGCCUAGUGGUUAGAGCGUAGUGUCGACAGGUAGCCUAGUGGUUAGAGUGUAGUGUCGGCAGGUAGCCUAGUGGUUAGAGUGUAGGGUCGGCAGGUGGUCUAGUGGUUAGAGCGUAGUGUCGACAGGUAGCCUAGUGGUUAGAGUGUAGGGUCGGCAGGUAGCCUAGUGGUUAGAGCGUAGUGUCGACAGGUAGCCUAGUGGUUAGAGUAUAGUGUCG